AUUGAACGCUGGCGGCAGGCCUAACACAUGCAAGUCGAACGGUAACAGGAAGACGCUUGCUUCUUUGCUGACGCGUGGCUUCCGGGUGAGUAAUGUCUGGGAAACUGCCUGAUGGAGGGGGAUAACUACUGGAAACGGUAGCUAAUACCGCAUAACGUCGCACGACCAAAGAGGGGGACCUUCGGGCCUCUUGCCAUCGGAUGUGCCCAGAUGGGAUUAGCUAGUAGGGGGGUUAACGGGCUACCCAGGGGACGAACUCCAGCUGGUCUGAGAGGGUGCCCAGCCACCCUGGAACAGAGGCACGGUCCAGACUCCUACGGGAGGCAGCAGUGGGAAAUAUUGCACGAUGGGCGCAAGCCUGAUGCAGCCAUGCCGAGUGUAUGAAGAAGGACUGCGGGUUGUAAAGUACUGUCAGCGGGGAGGAAGGGAGUAAAGAUAAGACCUUUGCUCAUUGACGUUACCCGCAGAAGAAGCACCGGCUAACUCCGUG
Molecule: ribosomal RNA, 490 nt
Filed under: uncultured bacterium
Lineage: Bacteria
Description: partial 16S ribosomal RNA
Rfam family: Bacterial small subunit ribosomal RNA
Source: RNAcentral